UGGAAUUAUUACAUUAUUAAUAUUUUCAUCUGCUGGCUGGCAUAUUCACCCUGAAACAGAGCUUUGCAAAAUGAUGGAGAAUCCGUGAAGAAUUGGUCUCAGAAAUGAGCAACGCUCUCGCCCGCUGUGAACUGUUCAAAUCAUCCAGUUUGCUUGACUUUUUGAAGAUCCUGCCUCAUGUGGUCCGCGCUACGAGGCCAAAGGAGACGGAGCUCCAAGCUCGGUGGGGCUCCCACUUUGAUACCCGGCCCAACAUGGCGUCCUGUGACAUCACGUGGCAGGGGGUCUCUGUGAAGCUAAUCUCUAAUAAGGGAUGAAACGCUGCAUCUGAUGAAGGUUGAUCUUUCGAGAACCACUUUAAGAGGAGCUGUUAAUGAUGACGACUUUGGACGGUUGAAGUGGAAAUGUUAAUGAAGGACCACCACUCGGUUUGAUUCGGUUCAUUUAAUGAGACACGUCACUGAUUUAUGGAUUAGAAAUGAAUAUAACCUAAUGACAUUUUGUGAAAACACACUAAACUGAACCACUCAUUUAUGAAUCACAAUACCACACAUUACAAAUUAUAAACAGCCGUUUUUAUGUGGGAAAGUACUAUUUUACUUGUGGCGUUUGUAUACUGAUUAAGUUACUUCUUAUCAGUCAAACCUGGCAACAUACGGUUAUUGGCAGAUACGUUACCGCCACAUCGGCAACAACGGACACUUCGACGUUAAACACCACAGAAUUAGAAGAACAACAGGAGACGUUUAUGUGCGUUUCCUCCAGACAACGUUGAACGAGCAUCCCGGAAGCAGCUUCGGACGGAGGCGCUCCUGCUUUAAAUGCUGGACAGGUGCUGACAUGUCUCAAACUCCCCCCUUCCUCAGUGAGUGAGCGGUUUGACCUGGUGUUGGCAGUUGAUGGCCCAGUAGACCUGCCUGCGUGCAUUUGAAUGUCAAAGAGCAUCUUGGAGCUGUCACGGCCCGCCUGCCACACAAGAGGAACUUCCCUCCAGUCCUCGGCGUUACCCACAUGGCAAGAGGAUGUGCAGCGGCUGAUGUGGAGGAAAGACAAUCAGGCCGUCAAGGGUGAACCCCCCGUGAAUAAUUCCAACUUUAAUUGGAAAGAAAUCUAUACAUGGAACUUCACUUGCACGCAGGAUCACAGUACCUUGAAGAAACAAUUACAAAGCAUAGAGAGGUAAUCAAUGGCUCUGCUUCGCCAUGAAAUGUCACCCGAUGAAGCUGAUACGGCCCUGAAGUAUUAGCGUUUAACCUGUGUCUCUAAGUGAAUAGCGUACAGUUAAAGCGAGCACAAGGUGGCACUAGUAGCUGUACAAAUACAUUCAGCACAUACAUCUAAUGCAUGUAAAUUAAACCUCAUCUGUGCCCAUAGUUGUAGUUAUUGAACCAUUAUUUCACAGUUUAUUAUUCUUUUCAACACUUAAACUCUUUUAAUACAAUAUUUCUUCUAACAAUUCCCCUCCGUAGUUGUGUGCUCUCCAAAC
RNAcentral lists this long non-coding RNA (1486 nucleotides) under Betta splendens (Siamese fighting fish). RNAcentral's name for it is "lncRNA (ENSBSLG00000000354.1)". The record is from RNAcentral. Lineage: Eukaryota; Metazoa; Chordata; Actinopteri; Anabantiformes; Osphronemidae.